UAGUCCACGCCGUAAACGAUGGAUACUAGCUGUUUAUUUCGAUUUUUUCGUAAUGAGUGGCCAAGCGAAAGUGAUAAGUAUCCCACCUGGGGAGUACGUUCGCAAGAAUGAAACUCAAAGGAAUUGACGGGGGCCCGCACAAGCGGUGGAGCAUGUGGUUUAAUUCGAUGAUACGCGAGGAACCUUACCAGGGCUUAAAUGUAGAUUGACAGGUUUAGAGAUAGACUUUUCUUCGGACAAUUUACAAGGUGCUGCAUGGUUGUCGUCAGCUCGUGCUGUGAAGCGUUUGGUUAAGUCCUAUAACGAGCGCAACCCCUGUUGUUAGUUGCCAUCACGUAAAGGUGGGGACUCUAGCAAGACUGCCGGUGCAAACCGUGAGGAAGGUGGGGAUGACGUCAAAUCAUCACGGCCCUUACGUCCUGGGGCUACACACGUGCUACAAUGGGUAGGGGACAAUGAGCAGCCACGUCGCGAGGCGGCGCUAAUCUAUAAACCCUAUCUCAGUUCGGAUCGGAGUCU
This 519-nucleotide ribosomal RNA is filed under the name uncultured bacterium. Its description in RNAcentral is "bacterial SSU rRNA". It matches the Rfam family "Bacterial small subunit ribosomal RNA", at positions 791 to 1306 of the family's 1533-position model. The record is from RNAcentral.